UCUGCUAAAACUGUCUAAUGGUCAGUCAAGCAUUAGACGAGGAUUGCUAAAACGGGCCAUCACAUGUGUUGCGCGGCUCUUUGGUGUUCUAACACCGGGAGUUUCAGUUCCGCGAAGUUUUUCAAGUUUCCCGAUGACAGCUGGGAACACCCACGCAGCCGCACUGGGCGCCAGCCUUGAUUCAUCCUGUAGCCUGCCGCUGUGAAAACACGGACUACGCUGGACCCACCUGGUUCGGGAAGGCGCCACCGUCGGCUGCGCAGUGACCUGCUACUUUGGCUCCCACGUGACCAUUCACACUUACAAAAGAGGCACCUUCGUCGACUUUUGCGGCAUUUGGCAGUAGCGACGAGCGCGUCGGAAGCACCCUAAUCUCGUCUUGCCUUCGUCGCAGUGCUUUGCCGGCAAUGGCCCUGGGAAUUCGAGCGCCUACCUCGUGUCAACGCCGUGAUCAGCCAUGGUUGGUCGGUGGAUCCCGCAAGAGCCGCAGCAGAAGCCGCUGCGUUCCCAGACCCCGUGCGUGUGUGCU
This is a long non-coding RNA of Dermacentor albipictus, 529 nucleotides long. RefSeq lists it as uncharacterized. The record is from RefSeq and is a predicted model, not a curated record. Lineage: Eukaryota; Metazoa; Arthropoda; Arachnida; Ixodida; Ixodidae.